ACCUCUUAGGCGGAUUAGCGCGUUAAGUUUAGAACUUAAAAUUAGAUAAUUUAUCAAGCGGUG
This 63-nucleotide transfer RNA is filed under the name Haustorioides koreanus. RNAcentral describes it as "tRNA-Leu". The record is from RNAcentral. Lineage: Eukaryota; Metazoa; Arthropoda; Malacostraca; Amphipoda; Dogielinotidae.